Methylophilaceae bacterium 11 is the source of this 321-nucleotide non-coding RNA. It matches the Rfam family "Bacterial RNase P class A". Rfam says of the family: Ribonuclease P (RNase P) is a ubiquitous endoribonuclease, found in archaea, bacteria and eukarya as well as chloroplasts and mitochondria. Its best characterised activity is the generation of mature 5'-ends of tRNAs by cleaving the 5'-leader elements of precursor-tRNAs. Cellular RNase Ps are ribonucleoproteins. Lineage: Bacteria; Pseudomonadati; Pseudomonadota; Betaproteobacteria; Nitrosomonadales; Methylophilaceae. The record is from Rfam.
AAAGCUAGCUAGACAGUCGCCGCUUACGCAAGUGAGGGGAGGAAAGUCCGGGCUGCACAGAGCAAGAUGACGGCUAACGGCCGUACGCCGUGAGGCGAGGAAUAGGGCCACAGAGACGAGCAUAUUCAGUUAUGGUGAAACGCGGUAACCUCCAUCUGCAGCAAGACCAAAUAGGCUGGUGCAUUCACCUCGGUGAAUAAGGCGUGGCUCGCGUUACCAGCGGGUAGGUUGCUUGAGUGUACAAGUAAUUGUAUGCCUAGAUGAAUGACUGUUACGCACAGCAAUGUGCGACAGAACCCGGCUUAUCGGCUAGCUUUUUUC